RNAcentral lists this ribosomal RNA (497 nucleotides) under uncultured bacterium. RNAcentral's name for it is "partial 16S ribosomal RNA". It matches the Rfam family "Bacterial small subunit ribosomal RNA", at positions 28 to 507 of the family's 1533-position model. The record is from RNAcentral.
GAUGAACGCUGGCGGCGUGCCUAAUACAUGCAAGUCGAGCGAACAGACGAGGAGCUUGCUCCUCUGACGUUAGCGGCGGACGGGUGAGUAACACGUGGAUAACCUACCUAUAAGACUGGGAUAACUUCGGGAAACCGGAGCUAAUACCGGAUAAUAUAUUGAACCGCAUGGUUCAAUAGUGAAAGACGGUUUUGCUGUCACUUAUAGAUGGAUCCGCGCCGCAUUAGCUAGUUGGUAAGGUAACGGCUUACCAAGGCAACGAUGCGUAGCCGACCCGAGAGGGUGAUCCGCCACACUGGAACUGAGACACGGUCCAGACUCCUACGGGAGGCAGCAGUAGGGAAUCUUCCGCGAUGGGCGAAAGCCUGACGGAGCAACGCCGCCUGAGUGAUGAAGGUCUUCGGAUCGUAAAACUCUGUUAUUAGGGAAGAACAAAUGUGUAAGUAACUAUGCACGUCUUGACGGUACCUAAUCAGAAAGCCACGGCUAACUACGUG